UGGGGAAUAUUGGACAAUGGGCGCAAGCCUGAUCCAGCCAUGCCGCGUGAGUGAUGAAGGCCCUAGGGUUGUAAAGCUCUUUCGACGGGGAAGAUAAUGACGGUACCCGUAGUAGAAGCCCCGGCUAACUUCGUGCCAGCAGCCGCGGUAAUACGAAGGGGGCUAGCGUUGCUCGGAAUCACUGGGCGUAAAGCGCACGUAGGCGGGUCUUUAAGUCGGAGGUGAAAUCCUGGAGCUCAACUCCAGAACUGCCUUCGAUACUGAGGAUCUCGAGUCCGGGAGAGGUGAGUGGAACUGCGAGUGUAGGGGUGAAAGUCGUAGAUAUUCGCAAGAACACCAGGGGCGAAGGCGGCUCACUGGCCCGGUACUGACGCUGAGGUGCGAAAGCGUGGGGAGCAAACA
This 402-nucleotide ribosomal RNA is filed under the name uncultured Rhodoplanes sp. Its description in RNAcentral is "bacterial SSU rRNA". It matches the Rfam family "Bacterial small subunit ribosomal RNA", at positions 355 to 774 of the family's 1533-position model. Lineage: Bacteria; Pseudomonadati; Pseudomonadota; Alphaproteobacteria; Hyphomicrobiales; Nitrobacteraceae. The record is from RNAcentral.